CAGAUAUUAGUUUAAUUAAAAAUUUUAAUUUUGGAGAUUAAUGAUAAAUAUUUAUUUAUAUCUGA
RNAcentral lists this transfer RNA (65 nucleotides) under Anadimonia potanini. Its description in RNAcentral is "tRNA-Pro". The record is from RNAcentral. Lineage: Eukaryota; Metazoa; Arthropoda; Insecta; Coleoptera; Chrysomelidae.